GAUCCUGGCUCAGGAUGAACGCUGGCGGCGUGCCUAAUACAUGCAAGUCGAACGCGAGCACUUGUGCUCGAGUGGCGAACGGGUUAGUAAUACAUAAGUAACCUGCCCUAGACAGGGGGAUAACUAUUGGAAACGAUAGCUAAGACCGCAUAGGUACGGACACUGCAUGGUGACCGUAUUAAAGUGCCUCAAAGCACUGGUAGAGGAUUGACUUAUGGCGCAUUAGCGUGGGUUGGGACCGGGGG
This 245-nucleotide ribosomal RNA is filed under the name uncultured bacterium. Its description in RNAcentral is "partial 16S ribosomal RNA". It matches the Rfam family "Bacterial small subunit ribosomal RNA", at positions 15 to 263 of the family's 1533-position model. The record is from RNAcentral.